CAUUGUAAUUUACUUAAUUUACAUAAUUAAUGUAAUGUAAAAAAAAUUUCGUUCACCAGUACUUAUAAUUCCCAAUCGGUUCUGACUCAAUCCUCAUAGGAUAGCCGCUCUGACAGCUCAUAAAUCAGUUGACCGGAAGUUAUGAUGUGAUAGUAAAAGUAGUAGUUUGUGUGUCGGUGUGUGUGAUAGUGGUUCCAGAGGCCAUGUGGAUACCCACUCGUCGUCACUCUGGAUGCAGUGCAUCAUGGACCUAACCAGUUGCUGUUUCGUUUUUGGUUUUAUUUUUUGUACAGCUCUUAUCUGCUUAUCAGCUUAUUUGGAGAGCAGCCGAAGAAAAAACUGAAACGACGCGGGAAAUAAUAAUAAAACAUGCACAUCAACUGGCUAUCGCAUAUAGGCCAAAAAUGCGAGGGCGAUAACUCUUACUGGAUUAGCUGUAGUGCGGCAUUAUCUCUUCUAUAAUUCAUUUCCAGUUUGGCUUUGGAUUUCAUUCUGAUUUUGUCGCCAUAAUGCCAAGAGUAAGAUCCCUGAAAUUGUGUUAUUGCUGACACAUUUCACAUGUUUAGUUUACAGCUCUUUUAAUAUUUGUUCAAAUAUUUACUGUACACAAUCUAAAUUACUAAAUAUUUUGCAGAAUAAAGUCAACUGUACUGCCCUGUUAGUUAUUUAUAUGAAAUAUUCAUUUCUGUUCCCUAUCUGCCUAAAUAAAUGCGUAUUAUUUUGCAGUUUGCCACUGUAAACUCGGUUGUGUUAACAAAACAUCAUUUCUGUUGGCUAUUCGUUGAAUCUCUUUUAAGCGCUAUAAAAUUGUAUUUACCCUACUCUUGUUGCUGUGGUUGGUUUUUCCGCAGAAUAAAGUUUUCACAGACCAACUCCAACCUAAUUAAUUAUUAUCACAACUUUGUCCAACUCUGCAAUAUGCAUGAUACAUGUGUAUCUUUUCGCAUAUAUCCACCAGCGCAGCUGACCAAAAGCAAAGUUGGCACACAGUCUGUGGUAAGCAAAAACUUUUGCAUUCUAUUACAGUCUCUGGCUUACGGAUGUCGAAAGCUAAUCAAAAACUCAUUCAAAAUUUAUACCCAACAGGUAGAAAAAAUAUAUAUAUAUAGGCUGAUAUAUAUAUAUAGGCUGAGUGAAAGCCAAAUCAAAAUCCAGCCGGCUAAAUGGAAAGGGUUGACAAAUUUCAUCCAGAAAACAAAAUGAAUUCAGAGUGGGCAAAACAGAGGGAAAAACAGCGCUUUCCUUCAGCCAUUUGCGAAUGUAAGGGUCCCAAGUUUAUGCAAAACAGGGGACGGCAUUAAGAUACUUUUAAAGAUUUUCUGCACACACCUUUUGCCCCAACAUGAAAGUAAGUUAUUACAAUACAAUAAUUUUAAAAGCAAACCAAUACAUUUUUAAAUGAAAAAUUGAAGGCCGGGAUCUUUCGAUUAGUGAACUCCUUGACAUGAAACAUUAAUUGAAUUCUAUUGGAAUGCCCGUCGAUUGACAUCUGAGUUAUUGACACAUCAACAUCGUAAUUAUUGAGGUUUUAAACGGGCAUAACUAGGCUCGUUUCGAAUUCAAUUAGGACUUUGUGUGCUUAGGUCAACUGCCACAUGCAAAAGGGGAAGUCUAAGACUCUAAGGCUAAAUUGGAAUCUUGAUGCGUUGCAAAUUGCGUUGCAUAAACGCAAAUUAUUUUGGCCACAAAAUCAGGCCACAAUUGGUCCAAUGUGUGCUCCAUGCGACAGCUGUGGUCCGUUUUCAUGCUCCCAGGUUCGAUUAUUAAUAUCGACUGACAACUGCACAUGUUUCUGGACGGGUUUUCUCCCCAAACGAUAUGAUUAGGCGCGGCUGCCCCAAUCCAACAGCCCAGAAACCGUGCCCAAUCAAAGACCUUUUAAUUUGGAAUCGACCAGCGGGCACCACUGCCCCAAAAGCCACAAAAAUCCAAAAUGCGAAUCUGGGCGACGAAUCCUAAUGUAAAUUUGAUGAACCUGCGUGUGUCGCAUUGUCUUUCCUCACGUAACCGCCUUCAACAUUGAUUUUAAAUUGGUGAUCAAAAGGAAACAAUUAAACGAAAUAAACGUAUUUUAAAUAAAGUAUAGCGCUACCUUUCGUAAUAUUAAUGUUUCUAAUUUAGUUAUUUAUUAAAACUGGUUCUCAAACAACUUGCAGCCUUUGUGUACUCGAGGAAAAUGAAUUUGCACACUUUUAUGAUGGAAGAAAUUUUUAUUUUGGCUUCAUUUUCGGUUGUUAAUCAUUAAAAUCGAGACAGAGACCAGUGACAUGACCUGCAUACCCCACUUUUAUUUCUUCUAUUUGUUUUAAGCGACCCCAAAAAAAAAAGGCGAGGAAGGCUAGCCAAAUGGGAACGAGGGAAUACUGAGGCCCAGCAGCUGGAAAAUUGAAAAUCGAUGGCUCAAGUGGAAAGCGAAUCGCUGAGGGGCGAUUUUCCAGUAAGCGCGGGGGGAUUGUGAGGGGGUAGAGGGGGGACAUGGCUGGCAGAAAAAUAAAGAAAAAUAAAGAAACUCAAACAAUUUUCACGUUGAGAAAUCGAUGGUGAAGAUUCUGUGUUCUGGCUGGGUGUAAAAAUCGCCAUUGAAUAGCAGCUGGAAAAUCAAACAAUCGAACUCAAUUAUUUCGUUAAUUCGAGCAGAUAACAGGUCGUAUGCGCAAUAUCAGCUAGCAAUCAAAACGGAAAACACUCGAUAAACAUUUGAUGGAUGGCCACUUUCGUGGCAGAUAAAAUAGCCUCUCAAAAUCUCUUUAUGCACAUUUUUAAGACUUUCUGAAUUUUAUAAAAUGUGGAUUCCAUUGUAAGCCAUAUUUAUUUUAAUAACCACUUUUUAAACGUGAAAUACACAAACUAAGUGGCCAAUAAAAAAGGCUCAGAAUUGUUUAAAAUAAAGUGCUGAUUAUUCGACACAAUUUUUUUUUAUUAAUGACUGUUUAUGUUUGGUUAUACGCAAAAGAUGAAAGCCUUAAUUGUUUAUAGAUGUUUAUGUUAGUACUAGAAUGUGUAAAUGAAGAAGUGAAAAAUCUAGAAAAGUAAUUGAAAAUAUAAAGGUAAUUCACAA
Molecule: long non-coding RNA, 3058 nt
Organism: Drosophila yakuba
Lineage: Eukaryota; Metazoa; Arthropoda; Insecta; Diptera; Drosophilidae
Exons: 2
Source: RefSeq, a predicted model, not a curated record